Molecule: ribosomal RNA, 253 nt
Filed under: uncultured bacterium
Lineage: Bacteria
Description: partial 16S ribosomal RNA
Rfam family: Bacterial small subunit ribosomal RNA
Source: RNAcentral
UACGUAGGGGGCAAGCGUUGUCCGGAUUUACUGGGCGUAAAGAGCGUGUAGGCGGCCAAGCAGGUCCGUUGUGAAAACUGGAGGCUUAACCUCCAGACGUCGACGGAAACCGCGUGGCUAGAGUCCGGAAGAGGUGGGUGGAAUUCCUAGUGUAGAGGUGAAAUUCGUAGAUAUUAGGAAGAACACCGGUGGCGAAGGCGGCCCACUGGUCCGGUACUGACGCUGAGGUGCGAAAGCGUGGGGAGCAAACAGG